CAAUAAGUAAUUUAAGUAAAAAUAUAGACUUUGGGUGUCUAAUUUUGAGAUUUGGGCUCACUCAUUGA
RNAcentral lists this transfer RNA (68 nucleotides) under Auchenoplax crinita. RNAcentral's name for it is "tRNA-Pro". Lineage: Eukaryota; Metazoa; Annelida; Polychaeta; Terebellida; Ampharetidae. The record is from RNAcentral.